RNAcentral lists this unclassified non-coding RNA (377 nucleotides) under uncultured Actinomycetes bacterium. RNAcentral's name for it is "uncultured actinobacterium contains 16S-23S intergenic spacer region". Lineage: Bacteria; Bacillati; Actinomycetota; Actinomycetes. The record is from RNAcentral.
UCCGGUUUGUCACCGGCAGUCUCCCUAGAGUUCCCGGCCGAACCGCUGGCAACUAAGAGCAUGGGUUGCGCUCGUUGCGGCACUUAAGCCAACACCUCACGGCACGAGCUGACGACAGCCAUGCAGCACCUGUGCAGGGCCCCGAAGGACACGGGCUUUCACCCGCUUUACCCUGCAUGUCAAGCCCAGGUAAGGUUCUUCGCGUUGCAUCGAAUUAAGCCACAUGCUCCGCCGCUUGUGCGGGUCCCCGUCAAUUCCUUUGAGUUUUAGUCUUGCGACCGUACUCCCCAGGCGGAGUGCUUAAUGCGUUAGCUGCGGCACAGAAAGGGUUGAAGACCUCCCCACACCUAGCCCUCAACGUUUACGGCUGGGACUAC